UUAUGGCCACAUCACAGUGAAACACCAGUGCCCAUAUGAUCACCGAAGUUAAGCAUCAAGCCUAGUCUAGAUGGGUGACCACUUGGGAAUACCAGGUGCUGUAAG
Molecule: non-coding RNA, 105 nt
Organism: Acanthosepion pharaonis
Lineage: Eukaryota; Metazoa; Mollusca; Cephalopoda; Sepiida; Sepiidae
Source: the annotation of a GenBank genome assembly